Molecule: long non-coding RNA, 825 nt
Organism: Peromyscus californicus insignis
Lineage: Eukaryota; Metazoa; Chordata; Mammalia; Rodentia; Cricetidae
Exons: 2
Source: RefSeq, a predicted model, not a curated record
CUCUGGGUAAUUGUCUAGCAAAUGUCCAAAUAUGUCGGCGCUAUAUACUUUCUGGUCAACUAGAUGAUGGAGGAAAAGGAUGGAGAAAGGCGCUAGGGUCUAUGGUAGGCCUCCCACAUGCAAUGCGGUGUACUGGAGCCAUUUUACAUACAUGCCGUUUGAGUCAACGCCAGCACCUCCCAGAGAGAAGGUUGAACAAUGGAGCCAAGCAGAGCUGUUGCCCUGCAGGAGUUCACACACUAGCCGGAAGAAGGAUGCACAUGUGUCCGUGUCCUGCCAGUCUCCCACCUUCCGUCCACUACAGAACUGAUGUUCUUGCUCUCCAAGUCCGUGCACACCUUAUGUUAAUCAUCCACUCAUGGGCCAAACACAGUGAAGCAGAUCAACAGAAUCACAGUGAGUGGAAGAGGCCUGGGAGAAGCGGUUGCUAUUUUUAUAAUCGCUGCUCUACUACGGUCUCGAUUUUCCAAACUCUCCCUUGUCUCCUCAAGAUGCUUUUUAUGACCUUUUCCUAUUGGUGACCUUUACCAGCACCAACCCAGCCCACUUUGGAAUCUCAAAAGGCAAGGGCUCAAAUCUUGAUCGCAGAUCUCUUAUAAGGGUCCUCGGUCGCCCUCCAAGCUUGCCCUCUGUGAAAUCUCAGGAAAGCACUUUCUCAGUGACAGGGAAUAAAGACUGGUAUCGGACUCUGAGAAAUUACUCACAAAAUAACAAAAAUCCUUUGCUUUCUGUUCCUAGACCAGUGCUCUGCAACCUCAGCUCUACUUUGGAAAAACCUGAUGGAAAAAAAAAAAAAUGAGUUCUAUCCUCCCCAGAUUCCAGUGC